This 222-nucleotide long non-coding RNA is filed under the name Elaeis guineensis (African oil palm). RNAcentral describes it as "long non-coding RNA (EGUI_LNC068947)". The record is from RNAcentral. Lineage: Eukaryota; Viridiplantae; Streptophyta; Magnoliopsida; Arecales; Arecaceae.
AUAGUUCCUUGUUUCUAGUAUUUAUAGAGGUGAGUAUGAGAAUCUUCAUGAUUGAGAUUACAAGAUUAUUGGGUGAGCAGCUUAUCGGGAGAGCAAUGAUUUGAGCGCUUGCUUUAUUUUCUAGUCAGUUAUGAUAUGUCUUUCUAGGCAUAUAAAGAUUGUGCUGGGUUGCAACUAUUUGCUAAUUAUUUUGAGAUUUAAUUAUCUCAUGCCCCAGACCCG